This 505-nucleotide ribosomal RNA is filed under the name uncultured bacterium. RNAcentral's name for it is "partial 16S ribosomal RNA". It matches the Rfam family "Bacterial small subunit ribosomal RNA", at positions 28 to 507 of the family's 1533-position model. The record is from RNAcentral.
GACGAACGCUGGCGGCGUGCCUAAUACAUGCAAGUAGAACGCACAGUUUAUACCGUAGCUUGCUACACCAUAGACUGUGAGUUGCGAACGGGUGAGUAACGCGUAGGUAACCUGCCUGGUAGCGGGGGAUAACUAUUGGAAACGAUAGCUAAUACCGCAUAAUAUUAAUUAUUGCAUGAUAAUUAAUUGAAAGGUGCAAUUGCACCACUACCAGAUGGACCUGCGUUGUAUUAGCUAGUAGGUGAGGUAACGGCUCACCUAGGCGACGAUACAUAGCCGACCUGGGAGGGUGAUCGGCCACACUGGGACUGAGACACGGCCCAGACUCCUACGGGAGGCAGCAGUAGGGAAUCUUCGGCAAUGGACGAAAGUCUGACCGAGCAACGCCGCGUGAGUGAAGAAGGUUUUCGGAUCGUAAAGCUCUGUUGUAAGAGAAGAACGGGUGUGAGAGUGGAAAGUUCACACUGUGACGGUAUCUUACCAGAAAGGGACGGCUAACUACGUG